GAUGAGCGCUAGCGGCAGGCCUAACACAUGCAUGUCGAGGGGUAACUAGAGUGAUAGCAAUAUUACUUUGGCUAGACCGGCGCACGGGUGCGUAACACGUAUGCAACCUACCUUAUACUGGGGAAUAACUUCGAGAAAUCGGCGCUAAUACCCCAUGACAUUGCGAAGAGGCAUCGCUUUGCAAUUAAAGCUCCGGCGGUAUAAGAUGGGCAUGCGUCCAAUUAGCUAGUUGGUGAGGUAACGGCUCACCAAGGCUACGAUUGGUAGGGGUUCUGAGAGGAUGAUCCCCCACACUGGUACUGAGACACGGACCAGACUCCUACGGGAGGCAGCAGUGAGGAAUAUUGCGCAAUGGACGAAAGUCUGACGCAGCCAUGCCGCGUGCAGGAUGACGGCCCUAUGGGUUGUAAACUGCUUUUGUACGGGAAUAAACCCUUCUACGUGUAGGAGGCUGAAGGUACCGUAAGAAUAAGCACCGGCUAACUCCGUGCCAGCCGCCGCCGUAA
Molecule: ribosomal RNA, 506 nt
Filed under: uncultured bacterium
Lineage: Bacteria
Description: partial 16S ribosomal RNA
Rfam family: Bacterial small subunit ribosomal RNA
Source: RNAcentral